This 443-nucleotide ribosomal RNA is filed under the name uncultured bacterium. Its description in RNAcentral is "partial 16S ribosomal RNA". It matches the Rfam family "Bacterial small subunit ribosomal RNA", at positions 338 to 795 of the family's 1533-position model. The record is from RNAcentral.
CCUACGGGAGGCAGCAGUGGGGAAUAUUGGGCAAUGGGCGCAAGCCUGACCCAGCAACGCCGCGUGAAGGAAGAAGGCUUUCGGGUUGUAAACUUCUUUUCUCAGGGACGAAGAAAGUGACGGUACCGGAGGAAUAAGCCACGGCUAACUACGUGCCAGCAGCCGCGGUAUUACGUAGGUGGCAAGCGUUCUCCGGAUUUACUGGGUGUAAAGCGUUCGUAGGCGGUAUGUCAAGUCAAGGGUGAAAUCCCCGCGCUCAACGUGGGAACUGCCUUUGAAACUGGCAAACGUGAGUGUGUGAGAGGAUAGUGGAAUGCCAGGUGUAGCAGUGAAAUCCGUAGAUAUCUGGAGGAACAUCAGUGGCGAAGGCGACUAUCUGGCCCAUAACUGACGCUGAGGAGCGAAAGCGUGGGUAGCAAACAGGAUUAGAUACCCUGGUAGUC